AAAGAUGUGUUUGGACAUGGAAUUUAUGACAAAAUCAGCAAUCAUGUGCCUAAUACAGCAUCUGCUUCACAACCAAAUGGUGACUCACAGGUAUCUGAUUCAAGAAAUGUUGCACCAGAAGCAAACAUGUCUAAUACCAGGGAAGCUUAUAAUGACGUCGCUCCCCUGAAAAGUGUACCUUCUGGUCCUACCUCUGAGAUGGACAUGAUGGUCUAUGACUCAUCAAAUAAUGGAAGAUUAACUGAUGAUCAACAAAAAGCAGAACUCCCACAGAAGGAAUCUUCAUAUGUUCAGAAAAACCAACCAAACCCUUAUAGGAAUGUUGGGGAUGCACUUGAUGAAUGGAAGGAAAGGGUCAAAGUGUCUGUUGAUCUUGAGGCAGACAACAAAGAGGCACCUGGUGAGCUAGAGGACAAGAAUGCUGAUGAAUAUGGAUAUGUUCCUGAGUUUGAAAAGGGGACAGCUCAAACAUUGGCCCCUGCUACUUCUGAGCAGAUUGACACAAAUAUUGAUAGUAAUAAACCAGACGAGGAUAAUUGUGCAGCAGUAAGUGAUGAUGUUACCAAAAUGGAUAUUGAUAAGCACAAUUCUGAAGAAGGGCAUCUCAAACAUUAUGGCG
Molecule: unclassified non-coding RNA, 619 nt
Filed under: Hevea brasiliensis (rubber tree)
Lineage: Eukaryota; Viridiplantae; Streptophyta; Magnoliopsida; Malpighiales; Euphorbiaceae
Source: RNAcentral